UACGUAGGGGGCUAGCGUUGUCCGGAAUCAUUGGGCGUAAAGCGCGCGUAGGCGGCCAGAUAAGUCCGGUGUGAAAGUCACAGGCUCAACCUGUGAAUGCCGCUGGAAACUGUCUGGCUAGAGUCCGGAAGGGGCGAGUGGAAUUCCUGGUGUAGCGGUGAAAUGCGCAGAUAUCAGGAGGAACACCGAUGGCGAAGGCAGGUCUCUGGGCCACUACUGACGCUGAGAAGCGAAAGCGUGGGGAGCAAACAGG
RNAcentral lists this ribosomal RNA (253 nucleotides) under uncultured bacterium. RNAcentral describes it as "partial 16S ribosomal RNA". It matches the Rfam family "Bacterial small subunit ribosomal RNA", at positions 524 to 776 of the family's 1533-position model. The record is from RNAcentral.